CCUACGGGUGGCAGCAGUGGGGAAUAUUGGACAAUGGGCGAAAGCCUGAUCCAGCCAUGCCGCGUGUGUGAAGAAGGCCUUCGGGUUGUAAAGCACUUUCAGUGGGGAAGAAAGCCUUGGGGCUAAUACCCUCGAGGAAGGACAUCACCCACAGAAGAAGCACCGGCUAACUCCGUGCCAGCAGCCGCGGUAAUACGGAGGGUGCGAGCGUUAAUCGGAAUUACUGGGCGUAAAGCGCGCGUAGGCGGUCUGAUAAGCCGGUUGUGAAAGCCCCGGGCUCAACCUGGGAACGGCAUCCGGAACUGUCAGGCUAGAGUGCAGGAGAGGAAGGUAGAAUUCCCGGUGUAGCGGUGAAAUGCGUAGAGAUCGGGAGGAAUACCAGUGGCGAAGGCGGCCUUCUGGACUGACACUGACGCUGAGGUGCGAAAGCGUGGGUAGCAAACAGGAUAGAUACCCCAGUAGUC
RNAcentral lists this ribosomal RNA (464 nucleotides) under Vreelandella stevensii. RNAcentral describes it as "partial 16S ribosomal RNA". It matches the Rfam family "Bacterial small subunit ribosomal RNA", at positions 338 to 795 of the family's 1533-position model. Lineage: Bacteria; Pseudomonadati; Pseudomonadota; Gammaproteobacteria; Oceanospirillales; Halomonadaceae. The record is from RNAcentral.